AGGAGGAGAGGGUGGAGAAGGGGAAAGCAGAAUAGGAUGGCUCCGCUCUCGGGCGUCUCUGCGCCCGACGGCGCGCCACCACCGCCCCCACCGCUCUCCACCCCCCCUGCCACUCCUCCACCGCCGCGCUACCCGCCGCCCACCUCGCCUGAAGCGCCCCCUGCCGGCCGCCCUCCACCGGAGCUGUCGGCUUCGAGCAGCCGCGACGCCGCCGGCCAGGUUCCCCGCCGCCGUUGUGUGGUCAUCCCGCCGUCGCCAUCCAGGUUCGAUCUCCAAAAUCGCCUGCUCUCUGAGCUCCAUGACUGCAUUGUUCCCAACCUUCUUACCCCAUCGGCUUCCCCAGCCCCGGUCUGGGUGACUCCGCCGUCUCUGCACCCUCACUUCAACUCGUUUUUCGUCAAGAACUCUCUUUGCCACUGCCUUGCGCCGCGUCCGAGUCACCUUAGCGUUGUUCGUGUCCAAGUCGCUGUGUUCGUGGUGACGUUUCGAGUAAAAGGUUCGCGGAUGCUCUGGUGGUCACCGGUGCGCUUCAGCUCGCCGACGUUCGGCUCUUCUUCCACCCAUCCCUGGAGGCGGCCUUGCUUGCGGUGUCCUGGCUACCCCCGUUCGUGCCAACGGCCUGCCGCAGCGUUCGAAUUCCUACCGCCUCAUUUACUGAGCCCCGUACGUGCUCACCAAACGGAGUCACUCCGGCAGUACUCCCCUCUGUUGCCCCCCCUUACAAAUCCGGCUGGGCUCUGUGCCCGCAAAUCUUUUGCGUGCCGCGCCCAUGCCUCUACCCUCGUUGCCAGGUACGGGGGGAGCGUUGGCACGUCCUGUCGCGCCCGCGGCGACAGCCUUGCGCGACUUUACGCAGCGCGGAGUCAAUGCGCAGCGCCCGCGCACCUACCUAGAAGCCGCGCUUUCUCCUCCCGCGCCAAAACCCUCGCCUGUCUCUACUCGCAUUUUACUGAACCCUGCCAGGGGCUGCUUCCGCUGCCUUGCAACGGACCACCAAGUUGCCGCCUGCCGUGACCCUGUCCGCUGUCGCCGUUGUGGGGCUUCCGGCCACAGGAGCAACCGCUGCAAGAUGAAGCUCGGGGUGAUCCUCCACGCUGUGGUGCGCAGGCUGCGCACCCCGGCAGCCGCCCGUGCUGCCCGCGCACGUUCGGCCCCAAUCCCAGCCGCUGCGGCACCGGUUGAGCGGGCCGAGGACCCCCCGUCCGACUUCUACCCCAACUGCUCAGCCGCCUACCAUCGCCUGGAGCUGCCCCUGGAGCUGCGGAUCUCCAGCAGGUUUUAGCUAGGCCAUUUUUAGCUAGGCCAUUUUUUAUUUCUAUGUCGUCGCCUUCUUCAAAUUCACAGAUUAGUUCUAAGUCUCUAUGGUAUAUAAAAGAACAAAAGUGUAAAAUUCAGAGUUCGUAUCCUGGUGAAAAUGAGGACACGUGCUCUGAAACUCAUUCAGUUUAAGAGCUGCAAGGUUCAUUCAGUUUUAGAGUUGGUUCAAGGAACAUUACAAGAUAGACAAAAACUCUUGUUGUACAUGAUCUUUACAGUUCCAUCUUAGCUCAUGUUGUAUAUGAGUAAAAACAUUUUUUCCUCUGCUCAUGUUGUACAAGCUCUUUAAAAUUACUUAUUUUCAGACAUGGAACUUCAUACAAAUACUCCUCCAACAGGAAAUACUGAGGUAGAUCAAUAAUGAUCCAACAAGAAAUGGUUAUCCUUUUUCAUUUAUGACAAAAGCACACAGAGAGCACAACUUGAUGUUGUACAGGGGAACGUUUGAAAUGAAAACAUAUCUGAUAAAGAUGACCAUUUAUACUUCUACACGGCAAAAGCGUCUGCAGAUCAGUACUGCUCUGCCUAACAUGACAAAAGAUUAGGAAAUGGUUGUUUUUUGAGGAAAAAUUAGGAAAUGGUUGUUGAUCGUGCAAUACGGUAUGUUCACCUAGCUAAACAAUCCGAAGAGACUACCAGAAAAUCAAAUUCCAAGAUAAAACAUGGCUUCACAUUGUUUAGUUAGCUUGCAGGCACACCCAUAUUUCACCAUCCACCUUCAGGUUAGGUCCAAGAUCUUUUUGUAGGUGUACUUCAGAAUAGCAUCCUCCAAUUUGAUUUCACUUGCGCCACACCGUGCUGCCGCUAUGCACUCAGUCGACGUCGGUGCUAUCCACUCUUACCAAGCGAAGGCGAUGAAAGAUCCCUGAGAGCCUCAUUUCAACGUAGUGAUAACAUACAGUCAGCAGCAUACACCUUGAACAGCUUGCACAAAGCCACAAACGUCCUGCGAUUCAGUUCGUAACAGAUGGUCUGUUGAUGACAUUGAUCGCACAAGAACAUCCUGUAUCAUGGUCAUAUAGACUCAGUCCAUGUUUUUUCCAUUGGGUCCAAAGUCGACGGUUUCAGAUCAAGCACAAUUGGGCCUUGCUUCCCCACUGCAUGCCUAUCCAGAUAUGAAUACUGAGGCAAGAAAAUUCAUUCAAGUAUGGAGAAACAUGAAACAAAAAUGACAAACGAUUACACAGUAUAAUCUCUUAUUGGUAGAAAAAUUCAUACAGAAGGGAAUGAUAUUAGCCACCUAGAAAUCCACUUCUAAACCACUCGCCACCUGAAACAUGGCGACUGCUCGGCCGCGACACGCGGCGUUCUCUUUCUGCACAAGGUCGGCCAUGUUCGGCGUUCGCGGUCUGACCGAUGCUGCCUGCGUUUCCACCCUCGGGUGACUGACGGCCCAACUUUGGCGCCCAAAAACUCGUGAAAACGUGCUGCAACAGACCAAGAUUUCUUACUAAACAUCGUAUAGCUACACGAGAUCUCCAAGUUUUCUUAAACAAGUUUUGUAAAAAACGAACUGGAUUGCAAGGUACAAACUCCAAAUUCUGAUACACGAAACUGAGACAGAGUUUCAGUUACAACAGUAAGGUUCAGUGAAAACAGUGAACUUGUUGUUUUGGAUUGUGAAUUUGAAACUCAAACAGCAUUCAAUCAAAGUUGGGGUUUAUUUCCAUGUUAACAACUUUCAGAGUACUACAACUUUUAUUAAGGGUUUGAGAGCAGUUGCUACACAAAUUUCCAAACCAGUCAUUCAAACAUAUCAUCAGCUUCCUACCGGCAGUCAAAGGCCGGGCUUGUAGUCUACGCCCGUGCCCGGAAGCCAGUCAUUGCCGUUGAUGAACUUCUCGACGGUGAAGUUGAUGGCCUCGGCGGCGUCCUGAAUCGUGUGGAAACCGGACCACUUGACCCGGCCACCCACCGCGGCACCUGGCCCGUCGUUGUCGUACUCGGCGUAGUAGAUCGUGUCAGGAGGGGCGGCGUGCUCCCAUGGCAGCCACCCCUUGGCGUGCCGCACGUUGGAAAUCGUCGACUUCAUGAAGAUGACGCGGGAGUACGCCUUCCACGGACGGCCCAGGUACGUUUCCACGCCGCUUGCCUUGGCGAGAUCGUCGUCGGCCGCCACCGUGCACGACUGGAAGCAGAAGCCCCCAUUGCUGUCGGGCUUGUCUCGCCCCUCCGCAGUGAGGGUGUUCUGCUGUCCCUGAAUCGGCAGGCGCGCGAGGAUGUCGCAGUUCUGAAACACGGCCGCCGCGUCGCCGAAAAUGAAGUCCACCGUGCCAGAGAUUUUGCACUCGCGGUAGAACUGCCUCCCGAGCUCGGCGUAGAGCGUGUCCUGGUAGCCGCGGAGGGCGCAGCGGAACACCACGGACUGAUCCGAAUUGGACAAGAGCGCCACCGCUUGCCCCAGCUCCUUCCUCGGGCCGGCCGUGUUCUCGACGCGGAGAUCACGGGCUAUGAAGCCCCUGCCGAGAACAGCUGCGUGCACAAAUAGAGAGGAAAAUCGCGAUUACUCACAACUGCUAGAGCGAAAAACAGACAAAUUGGGAAAGCACAACAGAGGAAACUAAAAUCGCGAUUACUCAGAACUGCCGUCUGCGGCGUGUGGAAGCCAUCCGCGCAGCAUCGGCUGCCGGAGAUCACGGUGGCGUCCAUGCCGUCGCCGAUCAACGUCACGUUCCACGCGUCCUCUCCCAGGAUGACGAACUCCUUGUACAAACCUUUCUUGAUGUGAAUGACGUGCCUCUUGUUGCUCUUGAGUGGCGCGGCAGCGAUGGCAGCGCUCACGGACGAGUAGUCGCCGCUGCCAUCCGCGGCCACCACCACGUCGACGGGAACAGUCGCCAUUGGAGCUUCUGAAGAUGAUCUGAUGGAUGGGGAAUUGGGGAUUGGUUAGCUGCUUGCUUCUGUUCUUCUGUGGAUUGGAUGAUCUGAGCUUCUGAAGCUGAGCUGAUGGGAAUUGGGGAUUGCUUGGCUGCUUGUUUCUGUUCCUGUGGAUUGGAUGAUCUGCAAGCCGAUGGGUAUAUAUAUAGGAUCGGGCGGUCAAAUUGUUCAUCAAAACUUCAAAAUCACACGGCAACACCGACCAUUUCCAUUGUUGCUGCCGACCAUUUCCAUAACUUCAUUGUUGCUGACUUGCUGUGCCGACCAUUCCCAGUUCCAGCAGGAGGACCGCGGAAGUGAGAAGGUAUGUUUUUCCAGGGGUUUAAAUGAAGAACACAUUAGACAGAUGAAUAGUAAUAAGUAAGAGAAACCGAUUAAGUAAACUUCAAGAGCGUAUGUGAAAAAACGCGUUUGUGCCAUCGGUCUGGGCUGCGUUGGGGCGGACUGUCCCUGAGAUGGGCUUGGCUCCGGCCAGUUGCGGCCCUUUCUAACUUGUAAAAUUAAAAAUAAAUUAUAGAAAAAUCAUGAAAUGCUAAAGCAUUUUUUUAACUUCACUUGACUAUAUCUAAACAGUAAAUACAUAAUAUCUCAUGCUUUAGUAUUUUUUUGCUGUAUAAGUGUAAGGAUACGCUUUCAUGUGUUUGUUUAAUAGAGCAUGUUUAUGUGGUCCAAAUAGAGGGAAAUUUUUAUGGUGGGCUAUUCAUGACAUUUUCUAGAUAUGGUAAAAACUCCAUGCUCAGUGAAUACAAAAUAUGAGUGAAUUAUGAUUUAAUUGUGUUUAUGCUUAUUUAAUGCAGUUACAAAUAGAGAUGCGCUGGAGUGUUCUGUUGAUAAAAGGUGUUUUAUAGCUCGUGCAGUGAAAUUGUUCUUCAACACUUCACCGACCCUUUCCACUUUUGGUGUGCCGGCUGCCGACCAUUUCCAUUCCUAGGCCUUGUUUAGUUCACCCUAAAAAUCAAUUUUUUUAAAAAAUUCUCCGUUACAUUAAAUCUUGCGGCACAUGUAUGGAGCAUUAAAUAUAGAUAAAAAUAAAAAUUAAUUGCACAGUCUACCUAUAAAUCAUAAGAUGAAUCUUUUAAACUUAAUUAGUCCAUAAUUAGACAAUAAUUAUCAAAUAAAAAUGAAAAUGCUACAAUAUCCAAAACUAAAAAGUUUUGGGAACUAACAAGGCCCUCCUCGUUUAUAUCCGAAACCUUUUUAGAUUUUGACACAAUAGCACUUUUGUUUGUAUUUGGUAAUUAUUGUCUAAUCAUGGACUAACUAGGCUAAGAAUAUUUUAUUCAUAAAUUACAGAUAAACUAUGCAAUUAGUUAUUUUUUAUCUAUAUUUUAUGCUCUAUGCAUGUGCCGUAAAAUUCGAUGUGACGAAAAAUCUUAAAAUUUUUGCAAUUUUUUUUGGGAACUAAACAAAAUCAUGCCAGGAAGUACAUAAUGCCAUUGAUCAGUGGCAAUCAAAGUGUAAAAUAGCGAGCUAUUGAAAAUAGUGACAACUUUUUUUUCAAUAGCUAUGUAGCUAUAGCGGCGCUAUGAUAGAUAGCGUUUUUGUAAAAAAAAAACAUGAGAAACACGAGUAAUUGAUGAAAAAGACAUGGUAAAUAUGAAUUUUGAUGAAUAAAAAUAUAUUUUCAUAAGUCUAACAUUACAAAAUACCAAUAUGACAUUACAACAUGGUUUAUGAAAGUUCCAUUGUCCAAAAUACCAAAUUAGUUACAAAUAAUAAAUGAUAAUCUAGUCUAAGAUGGAGUUUUCAGAGUCAGACUGAGAAGAUUUAUCAUAUCGGCGCUAUAGCGCGUAAUAGCGGUGAAAUUUGUUGUAACAAAUGCAACUUAGCGGUGCUAUAGCACGUAAUAGCGGUGAAAGUUGUGAUAGCGGAAAAAAAUAUACAAAUAGCUUAGCGGCAAGUCUGACCAGCACCUAUAGCCCCGCUAUAGCCCGCUAUUCUUUUCUUUUGUGGCAAUAGCUGCAGCGCGUUGUCAUUCACUUGGCAGAAAAGUCAUGGCUGAAAGUACUAUUCGUUGAUUUGUUGGCAGUUUUGUUAGCUAAUUUGUUAGUAAAUUCGUCAGAUAACCUCAAGCGAACAAGAUAGGGUCCCAUAACUUGCAUCGCUGCAGCUUCCAAAAAGUAAUUAUUGUAUGAUCAUAUAUACAAAUUUAUGACCUACCUUCGCAGCAUGAGUUAUUAGAUUCGUUAACUGCACAAGCAUUUGUAUUACCCUUUUCUAGUCCACUACGUGUUUGCCCGUGCGCUGCCACGUGGAUAAAUUUAAAAGAAUCAAGAUAAGCACUGGAAAACAUGGUGUCACCGAUUCUUCGUAUCAACAGUUCAAUUUAGUGUUUGCUAUAUAGCAUAGAGGUGAUUAAGCUUAGAUAAGUCAUCACAUAUAUUACAAAGAAGUUGAUAGCAGUUUAAACAUAGGUGAAAGUUAUUGAGGUGCAAAAUCUUGCAGUUAUCUGACUGAAAGUAGUCUACCAAAUACAUUUAGAGACAAUGGAGAUACCAAACUGUUCGAAGCAUCAGACUCAAGAUUUUUCAAAUCUAAAAUAAGGGUUUUUACUGUAGCGAAGAUAGACAAUGCUUGAGGCAGAAAACUUCCUCUAGCCUAAUUAGCUGCAACACACCUGGCACAGAAAAUUCUGCCUACUUUGAUGGGCAUCACAAGACAAAUCAAUCCCAAUUCUUUUAAAAUGCGCGCGCGCACAGAGAGAGAGAGAAGAGAGAUAUCUACAUAGACAUGGGAUCUCAGUUGUGCAAUGAUGAAUUUUCUUUCCCAAUUAUAUGAUGUUAUGCACAGAAACUGAAGCUAUAAUAAUAGUUUAAUUACAUUCAGUACAUAUAUCUGUCAAAAUACAAAUGAGGACAGUAAUUCAUUAGUUUCAAAUAUUACCAUCAGAUAUGGCUUUUUUUCCUUGCAUUUUACCAUCUUAAAUAAGCUCUAAGACCUAUAUUCAUAGUACCACCCUCAAAAUGUUUCUACCUCUUCACCCUUUUGAAAGGGAAGGGAUAUUCAAACCAGAACUGAUACCGAGGACAAGGUCGUCAGGUUGCCACUUCAUCUGUGUCACGUAGAAGAGGAUUUCCAAAAACCUUUGCAAAAAUUGAGGGCAGAGCCAGAAGUAAAAGUCCAUAUGAUAGAAGCAAGUAUAACCAGUAGAGAGAUGAGCAUCAGCCUGCUGCCUCUGGUAACCUGAAUACUUGGGGUGCCUGGUUCUUCCCUUGUUGCUUGCUGUGACUUGAAGCUAGAGAUGUGCUGAAGUGUUCUGUUGAUAAAAGUGUUUUCUUCACCUGCAGUUUGCUGUGAUCGGAAGCUAGAGAUGCGCUGGAGUGUUCUGUUGAUAACAGUAUUUUCGAUUUCAGCAGCUAAUGCUGGACUACUAGGUACAGAGUCCAACAAGGCUGAUAGAGCCGCAUUGAACCAUGAUUGUGAAGCUGUGGAGCUCUGGUUAUUUACCUCAUUUGCUGCAUGAAUAUUCAUAGUGCCUGCUAAGGGGUAAUGGGCCACAUCAGAUAUCGGAAGAAAUUGAGUUUCGAAUGAUCACACAAAAAUGUUUAAAAAUAUAUAAGAAAUAAUUAGGCACCUGAUGCAUGCGAGGAUAAGACUACAUGAUCAUGCUUCAUAUGGCUCCGCACAUUAAGAGCAGCCUGAUUAUGUGUCCUUACUUCUGUUGUAUAUUGAUAUCUCUGGUUCUGAAUUCCACUGUUACCAAUAUCAAAAAAUUGAUUUUCAGCUACCAAUCCAACUGUGUCAAAUGGCCCAGGCAGAAAUGAAGGAGCAUCACAGUAUUCCAAAUUGUCAAACAUCCCAUUUGUUGCAGAGAUCAAGUACUCAGUUGUCGUACAAUCUGCAUUCUGACCUACAUCAUCCAGAUCAAAGAAAUCAUUGAUUUCAAGGAACUCCUCAUCAGCAUCCUGACUGUGGUAACUGAUCAAACCUGACACAGAAUGUGCCACACUGGUCCCUUCAGAAGAAUUUGUUUCUCCGCUAAAUGGCAAAUUGGUUACAUUAGACUGUGGAAAUUGACUACUCGGCUCAGUCCGUGGUUCACAAAAUGCACUUUCCUGAACUAUACAAGAAAGAUUACCAACCGGAGCACCAUGAGAUUCAUGUAAAUCCCCAAUGCCAGCCUGCACAAGUCAAUAACAUGUCUUAAUGAAUAGGAAACAUAGAGUAAAAUACUAUAUUCAUAUUACAAGAUGUAGCUCUGUCAUGCAAGGUAAGAAACACACUCUGACAUGUGCGCAAGACAACAGAAAUUAUUAUGCAUCUUAAAGGUUUAAACUGAAGCAAUUCUACAUAAGCAGUAUAAGCAUGACGCUGCAAUACGUUGUGAUUUCUAAUCAUCUAAAGGAUGGCCUGAUAUGAUGAAUAACUUACAGUCGUAUACACAGCAAAACAAACCUGAUUGAAAUUAUGAUGUGGAAUCGGUGCAGAGAGAUCUGAUUGGGGUUCAACCAUGUCCUGGUCGUUGGCUAUUUGCAGCAGAAGCCCUUCAAGAUCCCCAAGUGGAAGUUCUGUGUCAAUACAUUCUGCUGUUACAACAGCACCACUGCUGGCAGUAGGAUCCCCAGCACAAACUUCAUGUCCCCCGUCAGCAUCAUGCCAAGCCUGACGAUCUUCGCACUGGAACUGCAGUUCUGGAACUGAUGUUGAUAAAUCCGAGAACAAUUCAGCGUUUUGCUGAUCAUCAGAUAUUUGCAUCAGAAGCUGCUCAAUAUCCCCAAGAGGGAGAUCAGUGCAGGUGUUCUCUGCUACAACCACAGCACCAUUGCUAAUGGAAGCAUCCACAACCUCAGCCUUGUCACCCCCCUCACUGAGCCAACCCUGACCUUGACCAUGGGAAGAAGUAGGCUGUGCUUCACUAAACUCCUGAUCAUUUCCAAAAUUUGACAGGAGUUCAUCAAGAUCCUCAAUUGGAAGCUCACGGUCAGUAAUUGCAUGCUCCUCCACUGUACAUGGUGGAUUAUUGGUGUUAGGAACAGAAUUAGCGGCAGCAUCCGCAGUCACUCCCUCAUCGUCGUCAUCCAACCAAUCCUCCUCCCUAAAGGGAGCACCGUACUGUUCGCCGUUCUUGGGCCCGGCCCCGCUCUUCUGGAAGAGCUUGUACAGCGCGUAGGACUCCCUCCCCUGCGCGGCCGGCGGGAGCGCGUCGGCGAGUAGGGUAUACUCGUGCAUGACCCAGUCCGUGCGCUCCCCGCGCGGGGCCCGGCCGUGGUGGUACACCAGCGUCUUCUUGUUGCCCACCGCCCGGCCGCCGCCGCAGAUGAAGCGGUCCUUCCCCGUGGCCUUCCAGUAUCCGUCGCCAGUGGUGCGGCUGGCGCGCGAGCCGUUGGGGUACUUGCGGUCCAUCCGGCUGAAGAAGAACCACUGCCUGUCCCCCGUCUGCAGCGCCGACCUCUCUGCAGUGCAGCACCGAUAAAUAACUCGAGGUCAAGAGGCCGCCGGAGGGAUUGCAAGAAGCGAUCGAUCGGGGGUGAGGGGUGGGGGAAAGAAGGAGGACGCGUACCGGGGAGGUGGGAAGGGUGUGACUUGUACACUUCGACGUCGGCGACGUAGGGAGAGGGGCGGCCGGAGACGAUCCGGCGCUUGAGGAAGUAGAGAACAAGCUCCUCGUCGGUGGGGCUGAAGCGGAAGCCCGGCGGCCACCGGCGCGGCGGCGGGGUCUCCAUCUCGCCGGAUGAUGGUUGGUGCUGGAGGCGUGUCGUCUGCCGGGUCAACCCGAUGUGCUCCGGCUACUUAAGCUAAGAGAGCGCUCAAUCUCUGCGGGGCCCGCGGUUCUACGCGGCUUCCUGGUAACUUCGCGCUUCUUUUGACGGCCCCAAGGCCCGUUGGGCUGAAUACAUGGUCCACGCACAGUGAGUACUGUACACAGCAAGGCCAUAGUAGCUGAGCAACGAGUCCACGGUCACUUGGUCCCACCGUUCAGUGACAAAACACAGAUCGAGGCUAAAGUUAACAAGACCAGUAGUACAAAAUAAACCUUUAAUCAUUGCAAAGGAAACUAACAGUAGGCAUAGAGUCCACGCCGGGGGAAAAAAGGUUGAAAAAAAAAAAGAAACAUCAGUGCAGUAGAGCACGGUGAAUCGGUGAUGUGUGAUCAGACAUUCCAGUCAUCAGAGUCAAAAGUUGCAGAAAAAAGGAGACGGUCGAAUUUCACGAUACAUGCUGUUGUUUACAGAUGGUCGAUGGGCUAAAACAAUUAGGCACCCAUAACACAUGAAACAAAUAGAGGAGGUGAUAGUUCAUUUACAACAAUAUCUGACCCGUUGCCAGCAGCAGAGCAAGCCAACCUGCAGCCAACCGAGAACGAACACACAACACAAGUCUGUCGUCGCAUGCUUAAUUGAUUGAUUACACGACUGAAGAAAAGAAAAGAUGCAAUGGGUACCCAGCUGCUACAUCACGCUACUGCUACUAAUGUUAUAAACACGACAAUGAGGACCAUGACCAUGCUCCAUGCCAUCUGCUACAGAAGCAAUAUUAUUGCACAAAAUGACGAUCCACCCAAAACAGAGCUGCCGCACUCAAAUGGGGUCCCUCUACGCGCCAGGUGCAGCGAUAGGCAUUGCCGCAUUGGGAAGAAGAUGAAGGAGCAACCGUCAAACCAAGGGGCCUCCACCGCUCCAUCCAUGUAUGGAAUCUAAACAGAAACAAGGGUGGCUUUCAGUCUAAAUGUUUGACUUUAACAGCAAUGUUACAACAAGACUACAAUACUUCAUGUGUCUUUACAUUUUCAGUAAGAAACAACAAACAUGGAACCCCCAAACUCAAAUUCUACUUGUGUGCAAGGUAAGAGUGAUGUUAUGCCAUCGUAGUCCAAGGCUGAAGUUAGACCUUUUUUUAUAAGGGCUGAAGUUAGACUUGAGUGCAUGUGACCAGUGCAAUAGUUGGUUGUCCUCAUUGGGUACAUAAAAAAUUCUUUUGCAAGGCUCGCAGCACCAGUCAUUAGAUCUGGUGAUGGAUAAAGCAAUAAUUGACCUGGAGUAAGUUUCUUGGUGGUGCGGCGCCUCUUCUUUAUAGCUUCAGCAUCCUCUGCACACAAAAUGAAACAUUACAGAACAGUUGCCAAAUUCAGGCAUUAGCAACAGAAUCACGUUAGCAUUGUACCAGUGAUAGAUGAUCUGGUGUAUAGAACAACUCAACGUAAACUUGUGCAGUGCCACUCAUUUCGUGAAAAAAAUAGCAACACUAACAACUAAAACUAGUUACCGAACCAAACUAUUUAGCUUUUCACAGUUCAUUGGAAGUGCAGUUAGAGUUGUAAACUUGUUAUACUAUAACAAAAAAUUGGUGAUAAUUCAGUGCAAACAGGUAAGUGUAAUAACUAAAACAAAUAUUCUCAGCUGAGUAAAUCCCAUACCUUGUGCUGCUUCAUGUACAUGGCUGUCCAUGAGAGCUUGGCUGGCUUCAGGCAGUUGUGCAAGUAGCAUUUGCACUUCGAUUUCGAAACAAGGAACACCUGAAAAGUUCAGAGAAAAAAUAGGGUUAGACGCUGUAUUCAAUUCCCAUCAUUUUUUCAAGAAUUCACUAUGUCAGCAAAUCACCUGUGAAUCUGCACGGGUAAAUCUGGCACCCAUCUGGCACGGAUAGAUCUUAGCUCCACCGAAACAGCACAGCUCUGUUCUGCAGUAGAGAACUUCUGGUGCAUAAGGAAAUAUCAAUAUCUCCAUCCAUCAUAUAUGAAUGAAGAACAACACACACAAAAAAACUAUAUUUCAGUUACCAUAUCAUGUUCACACCUGCUUUUGUUUCAAGAGAAAACAAUGGUCACAGCAUCUUCAGAAAAUAGAAUAAAGAAAGAAAUUGUUUGUCACCAUCACUUGCCACUUAGAGCUGACUGAGAAAAGAUUUAUCCUAUUACUGUACAAUGCCACUUCUUCCAACUAGUCUCUCAAAAUUUUCAUCCUGGAGUUCCUUCCUCACAACUGAAACAUUGGUCCAGUGACCAGCAUCAGCAUAAAUGUUAGACAAAGCUACUUUGGAUGCGCCAUGGGUUUGGUCGAGCUUUGCUAAUUCUUCAGCAGCUUUCUCUCCUAAUGCGAUAUUUCCUUGUGCCCUUGCUGCUGAAAGGAUGCUGCCCCAAAUUACAACAUCUGCUUUCAUGGGCAUCAUUGAAACAAGUUGUUCAGCCUCUUCCAAGUACCCAGCUCGACCAAGGAGAUCAACCAUGCAACCAUAGUGCUUAAUUGUUGGCUGGAUCCCAUAUUCCCUCGUCAUGGCCUCGAAGUAAUAUUUUCCUUUGGCUACCAUCCCAGUAUGACAGCACGCACUUAAAACACCUAUGAAUGUGAUUGAAUUGGGCUUAAUACUGGUCCUCUGUAAUUGUGAAAAUAGGUCAAGUGACAUAUGUGCAUAACCAUGGAUGGCUAAACUACAAAUCAUAGCAUUCCAUGGUGAAACGGAAGAGAACUUAUCACUGGCGCAAUUGAAAAACUGCACUGCAUCAGCAACACUGCCACGCUUGGCAUACAUAUCUAUCAACCCAGCACUCAGGUUAUCAGUAAGCUGGAUUGGUCUGUUCAUUAUAUGGUCAUGGAUCCAUUUACCUUGGUCCAAUGUGCCAGAAUCAGCAAUUGCAGAUAGAGCACUGGCCAAUGUGACCUCAUUUGGUUCAACACUCGUAUUCAACAUGGAAUAGAAUAGCUCCAAAGCCAUGUCUGAACGUCCAGUCUGCACAUACCCAGAAAUCAUUGUACUCCAAGAAACAGUGUCCCUUUCAGGCAUAUCAUCAAACAGCUCCCUUGCUUCAUGAAUUAGGCCCUUCCUCAGAAGAGCAGCCAAAAGAGCGUUCCAUGAUGCUGUGUGUGACUUGUCUGACAAUUUGAAUGCCAUCUGGGCAAGGCCAAUAAGACCGCAACACCCAUAGAAAUGGACCAGGGUCGCUUGCACAAAUGCAUGGGCAUCAAAACCAUUCUUCAGAAUAACUGUAUGCAGUUGUUGGCCUUCUGUAAUAGCAGAGUACCGAGCACACGCCUUCAUCAAAUCAACAAGCAAUACCUCGUGGUCGUUUGCACCGACUUCACCCACCAUUUGAACAUACGCCUUCAUUGCGUCUGAUAUGAGAUCUGCACAGAUAUAUCCAUCAAUCAAUGUCAACCAAGAUACCUCAUCUCGCUCUGGGAUCCUCCAGAACACCUCUGCAGCCAUGUCUAUCAUCUCUGCCUUCACAUAUCCAUUGAGCAUUGCAUUCCAAGUGACUGCGUUCCUAUGCGUCAUCCCAUCAAACAUGGCCCGGGCAGAAUAAAGCUCUAACACCCCUGCAUAGGCAUGAACCAGGUUGGUGGCUACAAUGACGAACCCAUCCAGCGCCCGCUUCAGAGCGAAACCAUGGAUCAUCCCCACAGUCGCCGGUGCCCCACAGCGAGCAAACGCCAUGAUCGCACCGGCGAGAGUCACCUCGUUGGGAACAACAUUCUCGGAGAGCAUGCCGCGGAACACGGCCACGGCGCGCCCCGCGUGCCCCGCGCGAGCGAGCGCGGUAACCAGGGUGGUGUACGAGACGGCGUCCCUGUGGACACGUGGCAUCUCAUCGAGCAGGCGCUGCGCGCGGUCGAGAUGGCCCGCACGAGUCAGCGCGGCGAGGACGCUGUUGCGCGCGGCGGUGUCGCGGAGCGGCGCGGGUGUUUCGUCGAACAGCUGGAGGGCGCUGGCGAGGGAGGAUGGAAGGCGGGAGUAGAAGGAGAGGACAGAGUUGCGAACGAAGGCGUUGCAGGCGAGGAGGCCCGACUUGGCAGCGAGCGCGUGCAGCUGCUCGCCGCAGCGGAGACGCGCCGCACGCUUCAGGGAAGCGACGAGGAACGGGGCCAGAGGAUUGCCGCCACCGGGCAUGGGCGAAGCCUGGCUUUUGAGGCUUCCUCCUUCGAUUUGAGGCUUCCGCGUGAGUGUGACGAGAGAGACCGCGGGAAAAGGAGACAAGCGCACCAAAGACGCAGCGCAGCGCGGCCCGGCCCGGAAACGACAUCCUCUGACGUAUGGGCCUUACGAUUCUAGGCCGUGGCGUAAACCUGUGUAUUGCCGUUCCACGCACACAAAAAAAAAAAGACUCUGUGUACUGCCGUUCGAUGCAAAAUGAGCGAAAAUUCGUCCCUCUACGUUCAGAAAGCAGUACUACGUCAGAAUCCAGUGCCAUAAUUUUUCUUCACAAGAAUCACCUCCCCUAGUACCCCAAAAAAAAAAAAUCCCCUACCCUCACAAUUGACUUCAGACAGGGUCUAUCGCACGAUAACUGUAUCCAAAAAAACAUGUACAAGAAAAGAAACAUCAGUGAAAUGGAGUAACGCACUGUUAUCACUUAUCAGACAUUCCAGUCAUCAGAGCCAGAGUUGCAGAAAGAGGAGAUGAUCGAUUUUCAUGAGAAGUGCUGUUGUUUGCACAGAUGGGCCAUAGGCUAAAACAAUUAUGCACCCAUAAACACAUGAAACAAAAGAGGAGGAGGUGAUAGUUCAUGUACAACGAUGGGUGAGCCGUGGCCAGCAACAGAGCAAGCCAACCUGUGGCCACUGGCCAGCAGCCCUUUGUUACGCACAACACAAGGCUGCCGUCGUCGCAUGCUUCAUUGAUUCGUUACACGAAGGGAGAAAAGAAAAAGAUGCAAUGGGUGCCAAGCUGCUCAAUCACACUACUGCUACUAAUGUUACAGAUAAAAAUGAUUUACACAAGCAAUAUUGUACAAAAUGACCAUCCACACAAAACAGAGCUGACGCACUCAUGGUGAUCACGGAAUGGGGUCCCUCUGCGCACCAGGUGGAGCGAUAGGCAUUGGGAAGUCGAAGGAAAAAUAACCGCCGAACUGAGGGGCCUCCACGUAUGGACUCUGAACAGAAACAAGGGAAGCUUUUAGUAUCAUGCUUGACAAACAGAAUUUCAUGUCCAGAAAGGGAUCUGCUAUCAGUAUACAUUUUCACAUUUAUAUGUUAAGAAACAACAAAAAUGGACCCACCAAACCCAAUUUCUACUUUCUUGUUAGUUAAGAGCGUUGUACAUUGAAUCAUGGAUGUCAUGCUGGUGGUCUAAGGCUGAAGUUAGACUUGAGUGCAUGUGACCAUUGCAAUAGUUGGUUGUCCUCAUUGUGGGACAUACAAAAUCCUUUUCAAGGCUUGCAGCACCAGUCAUUAGACCUGAUGCUGGAGAAAGCAAUAAAAGGGUGGAUGUAUGUAUUUGCAAGCAAAGAUUGGUGAAAUUCGAUGAAGCUGGAACCCAAUUAGUCACUAUGAGGUGUGGUGGCUACCAUGUUUUAUAUAUUGGCCCAAUAUAUGUUGACAUUUAGCUAAUUGGCAUUGAUCUACCAAGGGGCAAGUGGAGUUGAAGGUGAACAUGGAAAAAUACUACUGCCAGGACAAGCAGGAAGUAGUUAAGACUUAAGAGGUUAUUGAUGUGUUCUUUUUAUGUGUAAGGUGGUCUCGGUAAUGCUAUAUCAUAUUCAUUUACAGCAUUCUGUGACAUCUGACAAAAUCUAUCUCCACAUAUACUGCUUAUAAACAAAACAAAUAUUGUUCCACUUUGUGAUACUACUUCAGAUAACACUAUCCCCUCCCCUUAUCAUCAUUAUACUAUAUCCCCCGAAAAAUAUAGCAACUAGCAUUGACUGUGUCACAAUAUAGUAUGGCACUGGCCAACUAACAGUUGGGAUGACAUUUGAGCUGGUGUAGCACUGCAGUUCAAUGACGCUCUUAUAUGGGCAUUGUAAAGUGGGCCUUUCUGGAUUUUUUUUUCUUUUUAACAUUUGCGUUGGAUAAUUAUUACUUAAUAUAAAAUAAAACAUAGCAUCUUCAGGUUUACUCCACAUUACUAAGGCAUUAAGGAGUACAUACUUGUAGCUCCCACAGACAUCAGUGAUGAAAACAACUUUCUUAGGACAUACUAUCAAAAAAGCACCUGGGAAUAAGGUGGAUUUGCAUGGAACAUUUGAUCCCUGGGAGAUCUUGGAGAUGACUCCGGUGAACUACCAUCAUUCUCAUCCAAGUUAUUUAUUGUAUUAUUCAUUGCUGCUGGAUCUCCCUCGGUAGUGCUAAGCUUAACUUGCUGCAAGAUAAAAGCCCAAAUUAGAUUAUGGAAUGCACUGGAUAACUUACAAAAUGAAUAGAAAAAUAUAUGAAGAACUGUACCUGGAAUAUUUUGCCUAAAGUUUUCAAUCCUUUAGCUCGAGCUCGUAGUUCCUCUUUCCUGGCAGUGCUGUCUUGAAGCACCUGAUAUUGAUAAUAAAAAAACAGUUAAAACCACUGUCACAACUAACAACGGCAAAAUAUCAGAUGUAAGAUAUCUCUAAAGAAAACCUUGGAAAGAUAGACAAGAUAUGAAUACAGACCAUUUGACACACAUGUGACAGGGUUGCCUCUAUAUCAGCAACAUUAAGCUUCCAUAACGAAUCCACCAUAACACUCCUAUGCUCCAGCAUGUAAGCCUCCAGUUCCUCUUCGCUGUAGUGGCACUCAGCACUGAGAUGCUUUCUCAAGUCUUCCUGCAGCUGCAUAAGUGCUAUUGCACCUGCAAAUACAUAAGAAAAACCAAAUCUCAUGAGCAAAUUACAGAUCAUGCUAACAUCAAUGAAAUUUAAUGAACAAAAUAACUUUACAUGUUGCAGCUGUCAGUUGGGAUUUAAUAGAAUGUCCUUUGUUUCUGAACCAUUCAGCAAUAAACGGAACACCAAGAUAUUUAGCUUUCUUUCCAAGCUCCUUAGCAGCUUGUCUUGAAUACACAUAACCAAUAGUGCUCAGCAUAUCAACACCAUAUGCUGCAAAAUAAGCAAAAUGGAAACAGAAAAGAACUCGAGUCAAUAUUCCAUUGUACUCAGAAUGUGAUCAUAAAAACAAAAGGAAGUGCUACUGAAUGUUGUUUUAUUGCCAGAAUCAUAUAAGGAUACACAGGGAUAGAAGGGCGAACAAAAGAUUUAGAGCUACUAAGCAGGCCUAAAAGCAUAAAAUGCAUACAGAACCCACAAGUUGCUGCAUGGACAUACAGCUUAGCAAGUGAUUAAAGGGCUGUCAUUAAUAUUCUGGGGAGGUGAAGGAAUGGUUGUCAUGAACAUAUACCGGCGUUAGAGAGUCUAGUAACCUCAGCUUCAGCAUACUGGAUAAAUUCCUCUUUGUUUCCUUGAAGAUAUAGGUGCAACCUAUCUUUCAGUAAUUCUGCAAGUUUCUCCUCCCUUUCUUUUUGUACAACCUACAUCAUAAUUAAAUUCUUAAAUCAAUACUACACCAGAAAGUACAAAUAGCAUGAAACACCAACCAACAAAUUGAACAUUUCAAGCACCAGAAAGGUUUUGUUGUUUGAAUAUUUAAAGCACUAAUAAAGAACAGAAAUUUGGGUAGUAUUUCACAGCUACAAUAAAACCACAUCAAGUGUGAUUAAUCUGAGUCAAUAAUGAUGGCUGUUAAAUCCAUCAUUCCCAUCUAGUAUAACAAAGGCUAAAUGGGAUCGCCACUAUAAGUUGAAAGUGCUGCAGAGGUCGACAAGCAUGAAGAUUGAUAUUCUGCAUGAGAAAUGCCAUGCAGAAACAACUGAGAGAGUGUAUUAUAUAUCGCUGGAGUUUCUCAACUUUAUCAUUCCUAGAAGCUUGUUAAGAUGUGAAGCUCCUGGGAGUUCUCAAAAUGUUGAAAAGGCCAAUCUUGUAGUGUUAAACGCAGGUAAAGCAUUAACUGCAAGAGGUAAGUUCACAUUCUGACAUUAGAUUUUAUUUAGAGUACUGUGCAGAGUGAGUGACUACAAAGGCUGCCAUAGAUUGAAGACUUCUCAUUCAAAUAACAGGAUUUAACAAAGAAGUAGGAGAAAUAGUGCCAAAAUUAGUGUGUGCAGAUCCAUUUGUGUAACCUGGGUCAUAAAAUAUCAGAAAAGGUAAGUUUCAUGAAGCAAAAUACGAAAAAAAAAUCCCAAAUAUGAUCUCUGAUUUCUCGUAGAGUUUCUAGCUUCCAGUGUCAGGACUCAGGACAUUCGUUGUGCCAAACAAUAGCUUCAGUUUCACUACGAAAUUCUUAAAGUAAAAGUUAAAUCAAGUAACAAAAAAACGUUAUUAUGAAUUGCUUGGGUAGUAUAUAAUGAGAAACAAGUUAUGAAUUUCCAUUUAAGAAUGAAUAUGACAAAUAUAAUAGAAUGCCCAAACGGCCAACAAAUCAUCCUGGUAAAGAACCAUACUCGCAUUUGCUCUUGAAACCUUCUUGCAUCGAUAUCUUCAUUAAAAUCAUCAAGUGAAGCCAUGGAUGCCAUCGCCAGCUGGCCAAUGUAGUCCUCAAAAAGCUCGCUACCGAACAGCAUUGCAAAAAUUGCUGCAGGAUCAAUUAUCGCUUCCCUAUAAGAUAAUGUUAGACAGCAAGUUAGAAUGUAACCAUUGGACAAGAUUUGACAGCAUAUGAGACUAAAUACCAGCUACAGAAGUCAACUAACAAGAAAAAUAAAUUAUACUAGAGCACUAAAGUUUUUUUAAAAAAAAAAAGUUUGCAACAACAAGGCAUGUAUCAUCAGUACUUAAACAUACCUUGAAAUACCAGAUCUCCCAUAUGAGUCAUAAGCUUCACGCUGUGUGGGAUCACUAAGCACUUGGUAUGCCUCCCCCAAUUCCUGCAGUAGCAGUAACUCAGAUGAAGAUGUGAUCUUCUUUUUAUAGAGUCCAAUUUGCAUUGACAUCAAAUAUAUAUCUCAAAAGCCACAAGAUGCACAGGGAAGGAAGCCACGCUUAAUGUGACAAGUGGCAGGAUCACCAGUUCAAUAUAUAUAGUACUGUUUUCUACCAUGAACAACGAAAUACUGUUGGGUUUAUGGUACAAGGAUACCACGGUGCAUUUAUCCACUAAAAAAGUUCAGCAGAUCCUGAAAUGUGCCCCUUAAAAUGCGAAACAUGCUAGUGACUGAUACAGUUCUAGUACCCGACUGGAGCUCAGUCGCAGCAGCAGCAGCAUGGUAGUUAUUAGAGAACAUUAGAAUGAUGCUUGCUGCGGUUGAUAGCUGAAGGAGUCAAGUGGAGGAUUAGAAUACUUGCCUGGAACCUCGCCGCCGCGAACGGAUCAUUGGGGUUCUUGUCCGGAUGGACCUGCCUCGCCUGCAACACGAGCAGCAACCACCGAAAUGAGAGGCGAAACCAUCUCUGAAACGCACGGCAAAAGGUGGGGGGCGGAAGGGCGCGCAGGCACAGCACCUUGACGUAGUACGCCUUCUUGAUCUCGGCCUCGGUGGCCGUCGGGCUCACUUCCAACACGUCGUAGUAUGCCGUGUCCCUUACCAUCGAACCACUCUACUCUUGCCCUCCCUGCGCGCUCUGCUCCCGCCCGCUUACGCUCGAUCGGAGCCCCCCGGGAUCUCCCGCCGCCGCUCGCCGUCCCCCCCACCGAUUCCCUCCUUCCCCUCCGCCGCUCCGCGCGGGUGGUGCGAGACAGCGAGGGGGUGCGAGGUGGCUGGCGCUGCUGCAAUGCACUGGCUGGCGGGUGGCGGCUGCUUGGUGUUGCUGGGGUGAUCCGACCAUAAAGCGCCUCGAAUAAUUCGCGUGCUUUUCUUUUCCCCCACGCUCUCCUCUCCUCUCCUCCACCGUAUUAUAAUGCGGGGAUGAGUCACAUUGACAUGGAACUCUUCUCUCUCGCUAGUCAAAAUCGGGUUCCCCUCUCGGUAAAACUUAAAACUAAAACCCCACUACGGAGUACUCCCUCGCUACUCCCGCGGUUUCGCGAGUGAUUAAUUAUAUCGCGCUGCUGAUGGUGAGGUGGACCACAUGGCCGGCGCUGACCCCGGUCCACGGAGUCAAGCGCGAAGAAGGCCGGGGGGAGCGCGGAUGGAGCGGGGUUUCAGGUCUGGGGGCUCACCACGUGGUGACCACUUGGGCCGGACAAUGCCCGCGCGUAUUUAAAAGUUCUUGCUGAAUUUUUUGCUUUCAACUUCCUACUACGUAGGGAUUCGCCUGAACUCAGUUUCUGGUUUUGUAAAGAAAAAGCAAGCUUCAUGCAAAAAAAAAAAAGCGAAACGCAUAUAGAGUUGCCAUAAACUUCAUACAAACAACGCAUGAGAGAGGCUGCUGUUGUUCCCGGCACGCGUCAGGAGGUCGAUCGCUCCCGUUUGGCACGCAUGGAAUGGAAUUGGAAACGGACCUGAGUGGAUGACUGGAUUUCUUCAAAAAGAGGAGAGAAAAAGGGAGUUGUUCGGAAUGGGCGGUGGAGGCGCCCUCAGGUCGCAGGUACUAGUACGUGCGUGUAAAGCCACUAGUCCGACGCCCCCUACAGCUGCAAAAGGCGCCCGGCCGCCCCUACCCUCCGUAGCAGGACAGCCACCACAUCGACAUCGACGACGACGACGACGAGCGGCGCAAAACACGCAUGGGGGCAACGUGGGCAGCGUGCUUGAAGCGAUGUAGUAACAAGCACUAGCACACCUACCUACUCCGUACUGUAGAGACUAGGAACAGGGACGAACAUUCUGGAGGGCUGCCGAAAUGGGCGGAUGCCCGAUGGUCGACGACGACGACACUUCAUCGUUAAGGCAAAGCCAUUCCACGGCGUGUCUUGUGCAACCCUUUUGUUUAUUAUUAUUUUUUCCUCGUUAACCGUCUGUCUAGGAUCUUGAUUCGUGCGCUGGAUCACCCCUCGAUAGGUUCAGAGAUUCCGGAGGGUAUGUUUGCAAUGGGUGUGGACGGGCCACAUGCGUGAUGGUCCUAUGAUUUCCUGCUCUGGCCUCGCGGGAGCAUGUCUUUCCUUUGCUACUCGAUAUAUCUGCAUGUACCAAGAAAAUUACGCUGGUCUUUUAUUUGGUAAGCAAUAUGAUUGCUUUAGCCGACUAAUGGUAGGUCAAUCACCUUAGUGUUAUGAUUAUAUAUCUAAUUAUUUACCUUAGCUACGACGUAUGUAUAGAUUGUGAUGAGACCUCGCCCUCAUUACAGACAAUUUAUCUCCUUCUCCUGCCACUGUGUUGCACCGACAUUGUCUUCCCCAUCCUGCUGUCGACAUGUCAUCGGCACCGAGACAGCAGGUCUCCGAAACCUAUGUCCUCUCGUAUCCGUGCACACAGAUAGGGCUAUAUCAGGUUUUUGAGAAGCAUCGUCAUGACUGUUCGUUGGACGUCUUCCCUCUACAUCGGUGUUCGUGGGUUGCCAUUGAUAGUCUAUUUCGUCAACUUUUGCACUAUCUCUAGCACUAACAAUCUCACUAUAAGGAUAUCUACAAUUUAUUUGUUGUUCGUUCUAACAUUCCUUCUAUUAGUAGCACUAGAGAAUUUGAAUUUAUCUUGGAUCGUAGUCUAGUGUUAAAUCACACACCUAUGAUACAUGUUGGGCAUGUUUGGUUCGUUGGUUUCUUAGAGCCUGGCCAGAAAACUUAGCCUGGGCAGCUCAGACCUGGUCCUAACUAGCCAACCAGCAUGUGUUUGGUUGUGUGCAAACAUAAGACAGGCUUCGGGGAGUUUCUGUUUGGUUGGUUGCUUAGCCAAGCCCCUUUCUCUACGACUUCUCUUCGAGUUGUGCGGGACCUCAGCGGGGACACAUCCGGCGACGCUGACGCCUUCUGGGCCACCGCGCUCCUCCUCUACGACUUCUCCCAUCAUCAGCAGCAACAACCCACGCCCUGGCCGUGCGGCGACCGCCCUCACCCUCGCCGGCGCCGACUAGCCCGUGCCUCCUCCUCACCCGGAAGCGACACAAGGAGCGGUCCUCCUCGUCGCCGCCACCACCGCCUCCGACACCGCGGCGUUGGUCCGCAUCGGGCAGGACGACGACGACGACUUGCCUGCUCUCUGCCCUGCACCGUAUCUGCGUGGGCUGGGGCGUCACGAGGCGUGCCAAGUACCCUAGCCGGCAGCCGCAGCACUGCCCGGGUUCUCCCACGGGCGUCACGAGGCGAGGAGCAGGAAGAGGGCGGCGGAGAGCAAGCCCGCGGUCACCACCACUCCCGACGCCGGCUCGUCGCGCGGCAAGGUGGACCGGUGGGCGGCGUGGCGGUACGCGGCGGCGAGGCGACGCUCGUCGACAUCCUGCGCGAGCGCGGUGCCACCGCCGGCAACCCCGCGCGCGCGAGCCGACUUGCGGGUGCAGGCGCGCCGCUAGAUCGGCGACACGAGCCUCCUCGACCACCUCCUUCGCCACGUCACCAACAAGGUCCCUGCCGGCAGUGCCACCCGGUGCUUAGCCAAGCCUGGCUCUAGAAAAACAACCACCCCUUCCGUUUUUUCUGGAGCCUUGCUAGAGGGUGGUUGGUGGCUCCUUGUAGCCUGGCUUCAAACUCCAAACUGGCAACCAAACAACUCGAAGAUGGCUUGCUGGAGCCUAGUUGGGAGUUAUGCACCCAACAAAAUAGACUCGUUGGUUUUCUUGUCUUCAAUAUCGGAAUCAAUUUGUGUCACCAAACUGCUUUUAUUUUCAAUAUUUUUAGCGGAAAUCUUGCGUUUUCAAAUAGACCCUCAAGUUGGCAAAUGGCAAGAAGAUUUAUGUCACCUGUGAUUUAGGCCUUGUUUAGAUGUGAUUUUUUUUUUAUUUCGCUACUGUAGCACUUUUAUUUGUUUGUGACAAAUAUUAUUCAAUUAUAGACUAACUAGAAUCAAAAGAUUCGUCUCGCGAUUUACAACUAAACUGUGUAAUUAGUUUUUGUUUUCGUCUAUAUUUAAUGUUUAAUGCACGUGCCGUAAAAUUUAAUGUGAUGAAAAAUCUUGAGAACUUUUUAAUUUUUAGGUGAACUAAACAAGGCCUUACACACAGGAUGGUUGUGGCCUGGAUGUGCCUGCUCUGCUCUGAUACAUAUGCUGAUGCGUACGUCACUGCCCCAGGUCCUCGCAGGCCAACACGGGGCAACUGCCAACUGGGCAAGCUAGCCAGCUGGUUACGAUCACGGCAUCACCCACCUAAUGUGAUUUGAUUAUACUAGUGACAGACGAUCUGUCUUUGAGCUGUGAGCCCGUUGCUUUCAUAAACUGACACGGGAAUUUCUAAAGUCUCGUGCUCGUGGAGGUGUGAUAUAUCUUUUUUUUUUUCUAAAUGGGAGAAUCAAAUUAUCCAGUGUUAUUUAUUUGCGCUAGGACGUUGACAGGAGUAUAUAUCAUCCUGCAUUCCUCCUGCCUUCGGCCACCUCGUAAAUUUGAAGACGGAUCAAGGCCUUGUUUAGUUCCAAAAAAUUUUACAAAAUAGGAAUAGUAGCACUUUCGUUUGUAUUUGACAAAUAUUGUCCAAUCAUGAACUAACUAGGCUCAAAAGAUUCGUCUCGUCAAUUUCGACCAAACUGUGCAAUUAGUUUUUAUUUUCGUCUAUAUUUAAUACUUCAUGCAUGCGUCUAAAGAUUUGAUGUGACAGA
RNAcentral lists this long non-coding RNA (23432 nucleotides) under Sorghum bicolor (sorghum). RNAcentral's name for it is "long non-coding RNA (SBIC_LNC003675)". The record is from RNAcentral. Lineage: Eukaryota; Viridiplantae; Streptophyta; Magnoliopsida; Poales; Poaceae.